This 618-nucleotide ribosomal RNA is filed under the name uncultured organism. RNAcentral's name for it is "bacterial SSU rRNA". It matches the Rfam family "Bacterial small subunit ribosomal RNA", at positions 830 to 1446 of the family's 1533-position model. The record is from RNAcentral.
UAUCGAUCCCCUCGGUUCCGAAGUCAACGCAUUAAGUACCCCGCCUGGUGGAGUAUGGUCGCAAGGCUGAAACUCAUAAGGAAUUGACGGGUCCCCGCACAAGCGGUGGAGCAUGUGGUUUAAUUCGACGCUACGCGAAGAACCUUACCUGGGCUUGACAUGCUUGGGACAGCGCUGGAUACAGCGUCUCUCCUUCGGGAGUCCUUGCACAGGUGCUGCAUGGCUGUCGUCAGCUCGUGUCGUGAGAUGUCGGGUUAAGUCCCUCAACGAGCGCAACCCUCGUUACUAGUUGCCAUCAGUUCGGCUGGGCACUCUAGUGAGACUGCCGGUGACAAAACCGGAGGAAGGUGAGGAUGAUGUCAAGUCAUCAUGGCCCUUACGCCCAGGGCUACACACGUGCUACAAUGGUCGGCACAAAGGGCAGCCAAACCGCGAGCUGGAGCUAAUCCCAUAAAGCCGGCCCCAGUACGGAUUGGAGUCUGCAACUCGACUCCAUGAAGGCGGAAUCGCUAGUAAUCGCGGAUCAGCAUGCCGCGGUGAUAUGUUCCCGGGGAUUGUACACACCGCCCGUCAUAUCACCCGAGCCGGGAUACCCGAAGUCCGUGCCCAACCAUUUGG